GUCCUCCUUCAUGCGUUUGAUGAUGAAGCCCUUCUUCUCCCGCAGAGCCUUCUCAAACCGGUGCUCCUGCUCGGCCGUGGCCGGGUCCAACUCCACGCGGGCCGCCUCGUAUUCAUCCUCACUGUUGUAUCCUCCUCCGGCCUCGUCGGGCCCGGGGCUGCCCCCGGAGCCCAACCCCAGCCCCAGCGCCAGGCCCCCGCCGCCGGGCCCGGAGCCGCCCCCCGCGCUGGGCCCGGCCCCUCCGCGCCGCCGCCGUUUGCUGUGCCCGGGGCCUCCCCUCCUCCUCCUCCUCCCC
This 295-nucleotide long non-coding RNA is filed under the name Gallus gallus (chicken). The record is from RNAcentral. Lineage: Eukaryota; Metazoa; Chordata; Aves; Galliformes; Phasianidae.